Molecule: ribosomal RNA, 253 nt
Filed under: uncultured bacterium
Lineage: Bacteria
Description: partial 16S ribosomal RNA
Rfam family: Bacterial small subunit ribosomal RNA
Source: RNAcentral
GACAGAGGGUGCGAGCGUUAAUCGGAAUUACUGGGCGUAAAGGGCGCGUAGGUGGUUUUGUAAGUUAGGUGUGAAAUUCCCGGGCUUAACCUGGGGCGGUCACUUAAUACUGCAAGACUAGAGUGCAGGAGAGGAAAGCGGAAUUUCCGGAGUAGCAGUGAAAUGCGUAGAUACCGGAAGGAACAUCAAUGGCGAAGGCAGCUUUCUGGACUGAUACUGACACUGAGGCGCGAAAGCGUGGGGAGCAAACAGG